Pelobates cultripes (western spadefoot toad) is the source of this 1765-nucleotide non-coding RNA. The record is from the annotation of a GenBank genome assembly. NCBI's taxonomy places the organism in Eukaryota, Metazoa, Chordata, Amphibia, Anura, Pelobatidae.
GCCUGACUGAUGAAAAUAAAUCAGCUUGCUUCAAGUAUGCCUAUUCUUCAAGUAUGCCUAUUCUCCCCUCUUUAGAGAACAGAUCAUUUUGAUCUUUCUCUAAACCUUGUUUAUUCCAAAAGACAGAUUCUGGGUAUUUAAAAAAAAAAAUCUCAUAACCACUGAAGCGCUGGGCUGUCAUGUGUUGUAUGGUGAUAUUUAUCAGCUGAGUGACCUGGUGACUGGCAUGAAGUAUUGUAGGAUGCCCUAGUGUGAUAGUAGUAGCAGUUUCAACAGCCAUUGCACAUGCUAUCAAUGCUCUGAGACACGCCGGCAUACCCUGUACCGGAGCUCGAACUACUUUGGAAAAGAAUGCUAUGGGACGCAUACCGCCUCCUUGCUCUUGUGCACAGACCGCGGCCAUGGUUUUACAGUUGUCCCGAGCAUACAAAUGAAAUGGUUUACAAUACACAGGUAGUCCUAAAGCCUGGGCUUGCACAAUAACAACUGUAAGGGCAAUAUAUGCAGCUAGCAUGUCUGGUGACCAGCAGACAUUUUCAGGGCUGUCAGAACGUACAGCCUCCCUUAGGAUUGAGUCAUAAUGGGAGCAUUCAGGGAUCCAUGGUGGCAGUAAUUAAUCAUGCCGAGGAAGGUGAGCAACUCCUUCCGAGUAGUGGGUGUUGGAAUCCUCUGAAUGACCUCAAUACGUUUUGGACUCAAUUGUCUGGUGCCUAAAGCCAGAACAAAACCUAAGUAUUCAACCUUUGAUUUACACAAUUGCAUUUUGUGUUUAACAACCUUGUGACCUAUAGUUGCUGACAGUAUCCACAGUGCUUGCCUCAUAGCUAGGGCUACAUAACAACAAAUCAUCAACAUUUUGCAAAAAGGACGGAACCAUGACCGGUGGUCCAUGUUUUUUAGAGUAUGUUGGAGUACCAACGAAUAAACAGCUGGGGAAUCCACAUAGCCUUGGGUAAGCGUGUCCAGGUAAACUGACAGCCUUCAAAAAGUAAAAACCAUAAGUAGCUGUGUCUCUUGAUCAAUAGGUAUAGAAAAAAUGUAUUACUUAAAUCAAUGACAGUGAAGCAAGUGGCAUCAUGUGGAAUGGCUGUAAUGAGGGAUGUCACAUCAGGGACAAUGGGUGAAAUGGGCACAAUUAAACUAUUCAGGGCUCUAAAGUCCUGAACUAAGCGAUAUGCUGGCCAGUGGUGUUGGGAGUGGAUCUGGUGUUGUUCUUGCCUACAGGGCAUAUUUUGAGAAUUGUGGGGUUGGUGGGGUGUGUGGGGUUUGAUGGGGUUUCCUGGGGUGUGGACACUCAUUCCUCCAGUGGCCAUAUUGUCCACAGUUGAACCAAGUGUUCCUGUCUAUUCCUCCUUGGUUACCCCUGCCCCUAUAACCCUGAUUUCCCUGUCUCCAUCACCUUGCCCCUCUUUGACCACCCCUUCCACGGGCUUUAUGUGCUCCAUCCCAUCCUCGCUCUCAGCCUGUGUAGCUGGACAUAAUAUGUUGCAAUCCCUGAGCAUAAUAAGCAACCUUACUUUCCUAAAUCUUUUCUUAAUUCAAAACAACCUGCAUUUUCCUUUUCUAUAACCUUGGUAAGAAAAUCUGAGCUAUCCAAAUUGUCCCAGUCUGAAAUCAAUUGUUUCACAAGCAAAGAAUACUGUGGCAACAUAUUACCAAGGCAUGAUUGUAUUUUAAAGAUAUCUAUAUCAUCUCCAGACAUCAAACCUGCCUCAUCCUUCCAACACUUGUAAAAUUUCUUUACAAAAAUCAUAUUACCAAUCUC